UACGGGGGGGGCAAGCGUUGUUCGGAAUUACUGGGCGUAAAGGGCGCGUAGGCGGUUUGCUAAGUUGGAUGUGAAAACUCUGGGCUUAACCCAGAGCCUGCAUCCAAAACUGGCAAACUUGAGUACUGGAGGGGAAAGCGGAAUUCCUGGUGUAGCGGUGAAAUGCGUAGAUAUCAAGAGGAACACCUGCGGCGAAGGCGGGUUGCUGGGCUGACACUGACGCUGAGGCGCGAAAGCUAGGGGAGCGAACGGG
This 253-nucleotide ribosomal RNA is filed under the name uncultured bacterium. RNAcentral describes it as "partial 16S ribosomal RNA". It matches the Rfam family "Bacterial small subunit ribosomal RNA", at positions 524 to 776 of the family's 1533-position model. The record is from RNAcentral.